This 570-nucleotide ribosomal RNA is filed under the name Waltiozyma xylosica. RNAcentral describes it as "eukaryotic LSU rRNA". It matches the Rfam family "Eukaryotic large subunit ribosomal RNA", at positions 62 to 648 of the family's 3401-position model. The record is from RNAcentral. Lineage: Eukaryota; Fungi; Ascomycota; Saccharomycetes; Phaffomycetales; Wickerhamomycetaceae.
AAACCAACAGGGAUUGCCUCAGUAACGGCGAGUGAAGCGGCAAGAGCUCAAAUUUGAAAUCUGGUACCUUCGGUGCCCGAGUUGUAGUUUGAAGAUUGUACUCUGCGGUUGGCCCUUAUCUAUGUUCCUUGGAACAGGACGUCACAGAGGGUGAGAAUCCCGUGCGAUGGGGAGUCCGGCUGCAUGUAGAGUGCUCUCGAAGAGUCGAGUUGUUUGGGAAUGCAGCUCUAAGUGGGUGGUAAAUUCCAUCUAAAGCUAAAUAUUGGCGAGAGACCGAUAGCGAACAAGUACAGUGAUGGAAAGAUGAAAAGAACUUUGAAAAGAGAGUGAAAAAGUACGUGAAAUUGUUGAAAGGGAAGGUUAUUAGAUCAGACUUGGCGUUUGGCGAUAUUCGGCCCCUCGUGGGCUGUUCACUCGUCUUUCGCUGGGCCAGCAUCGGUUUGGGUGGCAGGACAAUGGCUGUUGAACGUGGCUUGCCUCGGCAAGUGUUAUAGCUUCAGCUGAUACUGCCUACCCGGACCGAGGACUGCGGCUUCUGCCUAGGAUGCUGGCGUAAUGAUCUAAUAUCGC